GAUGAACGCUGGCGGCGUGCCUAAUACAUGCAAGUCGAGCGAACAGACGAGGAGCUUGCUCCUCUGACGUUAGCGGCGGACGGGUGAGUAACACGUGGAUAACCUACCUAUAAGACUGGGAUAACUUCGGGAAACCGGAGCUAAUACCGGAUAAUAUAUUGAACCGCAUGGUUCAAUAGUGAAAGACGGUUUUGCUGUCACUUAUAGAUGGAUCCGCGUCGCAUUAGCUAGUUGGUAAGGUAACGGCUUACCAAGGCAACGAUGCGUAGCCGACCUGAGAGGGUGAUCGGCCACACUGGAACUGAGACACGGUCCAGACUCCUACGGGAGGCAGCAGUAGGGAAUCUUCCGCAAUGGGCGAAAGCCUGACGGAGCAACGCCGCGUGAGUGAUGAAGGUCUUCGGAUCGUAAAACUCUGUUAUUAGGGAAGAACAAAUGUGUAAGUAACUAUGCGCGUCUUGACGGUACCUAAUCAGAAAGCCACGGCUAACUACGUG
Molecule: ribosomal RNA, 497 nt
Filed under: uncultured bacterium
Lineage: Bacteria
Description: partial 16S ribosomal RNA
Rfam family: Bacterial small subunit ribosomal RNA
Source: RNAcentral